UUUCUCUGCCUCUGUGGUGGAUAGUGGAGUGUUUCCCAUGUGGUACUGGUGUGGUGGAUAUCCCUUCACUGGUAGCCUGGUAACAUACACUCCCAGGCCUUUCUCUGCCUCUGUGGUGGAUAGUGGAGUGUUUCCCAUGUGGUAUUGGUGUGCUGGAUAUCCCUUCACUGGUAGCCUGGUAACAUACACUCCUAGGCCUUUCUCUGCCUCUAUGGUGGAUAGUGGAGUGUUUCCCAUGUGGUAUUGGUGCGCUGGAUAUCCCUUCACUGGUAGCCUGGUAACAUAAUUAUACUCCCAGGCCUUUCUCUGCCUCUGUGGUGGAUAGUGGAGUGUUACCCAUGUGGUAUUGGUGUGCUGGAUAUCCCUUCACUGGUAGCCUGGUGACAUAUUAUCCCAGGUCUUUCUCUGCCUCUGUGGUGGAUAGUGGAGUGUUUCCCAUGUAGUAUUGGUAUGUUGGAUAUCCCUUCACUGGUAGCCUGGUAACAUACACUCCCAGGUCUUUCUCUGCCUCUGUGGUGGAUAGUCGAGUGUUACCCAUGUGGUAUUGGUGUGCUGGAUAUCCCUUCACUGGUAGCCUGGUAACAUACACUCCCAGGUCUUUCUCUGCCUCUGUGGUGGAUAGUGGAGUUUCCCAUGUGGUAUUGGUGUGCUGGAUAUCCCUUCACUGGUAGCCUGGUAACAUACACUCCAAGGUCUUUCUCUGCCUCUGUGGUGGAUAGUGAAGUGUGUCCCAUGUGAUAUCAGUGUGCUGGAUAUCCCUUCACUGGUAGCCUGGUAACAUACACUCCCAGGUCUUUCUCUACUUCUGUGGUGGAUAUUGGAGUGUUUCCCAUGUGGUAUUGGUGUGCUGGAUAUCCCUUCACUGGUAGCCUGGUGACAUAUAAUCCCAGGUCUUUCUCUGCCUCUGUGGUGGAUAGUGGAGUGUUUCCUAUGUGGUAUUGGUAUGUUGGAUAUCCCUUCACUGGUAGCCUGGUAACAUACACUCCCAGGUCUUUCUCUGCCUCUGUGGUGGAUAGUGGAGUGUUUCCCAUGUGGUAUUGGUGUGCUGGAUAUCCCUUCACUGGUAGCCUCAUAACAUACACUCCCAGGUCUUUCUCUGCCUCUGUGGUGGAUAUUGGCGUGUUUCCCAUGUGGUAUUGGUGUGCUGGAUAUCCCUUCACUGGUAGCCUGGUAAAAUACACUCCAAGGUCUUUCUUUGCCUCUGUGGUGGAUAGUGAAGUGUUUCCCAUGUGGUAUCGGUGUGCUGGAUAUCCCUUCACUGGUAGCCUGGUAACAUACACUCCCAGGUCUUUCUCUGCCUCUGUGGUGGAAAGUGGAGUGUUUCCCAUGUGGUACUGGUGUGCUGGAUAUCUCCUCCCAAGGUUCAGGACUUUACAUUUUUUCCUCAUUGCAUUGUAGCAGCCACUUUUUGUUCCACUCCUAAAGCUUGGUGAUGUCUUCUUGUAGGAAAUCCACAGUCAAGGGGUUAAAAAUAGGCCUUUCUGACAAACUGUUGCAAUUUUUAUAACACUCUUACUUCCCUUAUCAGAUUAUAUUAUGUUGUUUGUCCACAACACAAGUCCUGCAGCAAUACUUCCUCUCCACAACACAAGUCCUAUAGCAAUACUUCCUCUCCACAACACAAGUCCUACAGCAAUACUUCCUCUCCACAACACAAGUCCUAUAGCAAUACUUCCUCUCCAUAACACAAGUCCUACAGCAAUACUUCCUCUCCACAACACAAGUCUUACAGCAAUACAAGGAUCGUAGUGUUACGUCUACGUAAAGACGAGAAAUAAGCAAACAGUGAGUGCUGGGCUGACGUAACCUUGCCUCGACGUACAGAGAUCAAAGUGUGAAUUGAAGUUACUUAAACAAACAUCUCGUAAGUAAGGUUGACAAAUUAUAUUCCAUCAGUUUAAAUGACAUAAUCUUCCCUAUACAUACAGAUCAAGGCAACAUAUGAAAUGAAAUGAGGUUACUUAUACAAACAUCUCGUAAGUAAGGUUGGCGUAACUUAUAUUUUGCUAGUUUAAAUGACAUAAUCUUCUCUAUACAUACAGGUCAAAGUAACAUACGACAUACGAGUUAAUUGAGGUUACUCAUAAAAAUAUCUCAAAGGUAAGGUUGGUGUACCUUAUAUUUUGCUAGUUUCAAGGAUGUAAUCUUCGCUAUACAUAGAGAUCACAGUAACAUACAACAUAUGAAAUGAAUUGAGGUUACUUAUAGAAACAUACCAGUGAAUUGAGGUUACUUAUACAAACAUACCAGUGAAUUGAAGUUACUUAUACAAACAUACCAGUGAAUUGAAGUUACUUAUACAAACAUACCAGUGAAUUGAGGUUACUUAUACAAACACCUCGCAGGUUAAGGUUGACAUAACUUAUAUAUCGUUAGUUUAAGAGAUGUAAUCUUGCCUAUACGUACAGAGAUCAAAAUAAAUUAUCUCGAGGGUAGGGUUCACGUAACUUGUAUUUCGUUAGUUUAAGGUUACGUAUACUUACAAUAACGUUGUAAAGAGGGAAAGAAUAAAGGAAAGAAAGAAGGUGUGUCGAAAUGUCAUCUUAUCGCCUACAAACACCUAGAGACAAACAUUGGGGUGAGGGAGGGAGGGAAGGGUAGCACACACACACACACACACACACACACACACACACACACACACACACACACACAAAUGAAA
This is a long non-coding RNA of Eriocheir sinensis (Chinese mitten crab), 2662 nucleotides long. RefSeq lists it as uncharacterized. Lineage: Eukaryota; Metazoa; Arthropoda; Malacostraca; Decapoda; Varunidae. The record is from RefSeq and is a predicted model, not a curated record. The transcript has 2 exons.